CCUGUUAUGCCUCCACAUAGUGAUUUCCAUUCCAACUUUGCUUUGCCAGGCUGUAAAAAGAAAAGUCUCUUUCUUCCCCUUUCUCUCACAUGCCUGCCUGCUGUUGCUAGUCUCCCUUUAACACCUACUGAACCAAGCCAUUAGCUUACCUCCUCCUGUUGGUGCCACCUAGCUUCUGGAUUGCUAGAGCCAGCAGAUCCUGAAGGGAGAGAAAGAAGCACAGACAUUUCAUCUGAUUGUUGGACUGGCUCCCUAUUCCACUGCUGAAGGUGCCAUGGUGGGGUAAAAGAAAAAAAAAGGGGAAGAUGGAAAAAUUAGAGCCUUCCCCAGUUCACAUCUGGUGGGAUCCUAUGGAUGACCUGAGCAACAGUCCAGCCACCAAAAUGGUUUGGACUUUGCAAACUGUUGUCUUUUCACCAAUGUCCUGAAUAAGCCCAUUCUGUCAAGGAAGGACCGAAACAAAGUGGUUAACAUAAGCCAGCUGAAGACGCCUGCUGCUUUUCCUGUAAAUAACGCUGACCUUUUGGAACACUGACAGAAACUGCUGUAAAGCAACAAAAUAAACUCCUUGUUUCUCUCCCUUACGUGCAAAGAUACAUUGGUGAGUGCAUGUAUUUAGGUACACCUCAUGAUAUUAGCCAAACAGCCCGCUUUCAUGCACAGCAAUGCAGGACAGUGCACAGCUUCAGCAGCCAGUCAGUUUGCUGUAGAGACUAAGCUCCGUGGCAAAAAGUGUGAAUGUUUACAGCAUACUUCAAGGAGCCCAGAAACUGCAAGCAGUCAGAAAUCCAAUGACAAUUUAACUACAUAAUCACUACAGUAGCAGAGGAGUAUUUUUGUCCACUGCCUUUUUUUCAUGCAGUGCACUGCUCUUUAUUCAGAGCUGUAAGGAGAGAGAAAGCGUGUGAGCAGGAAAUAGUUUAAAGAACUGUGUACUAAGAAGCCUGAAAAGAUUAAAGAGCUACAGCAGCACUUCCCAACUUGCUCACUUUCUCCAGUUAAACUCAUCCAUUUCACCUCCUGCAACUCAUGAUUAAAAUCACACGGCGUCCUUCAAGCUCCAGAGACAACCAGAAUAUGAGUCAAAGUCCAGAGGUCCCUCCAAUGGCUACCAAUGAAAAGACUGACAUCCUGUUUGGAAGAGGAGACCGAAGAGGCCAUGAUACCAGUGAGGAAAUUACUAAAAAUCAACAGUGCUCAUAAGAUGGUUAGGCUGGGUUUAAACACAUUAGAGCCCACUCUGAUGUGGAUAUGGAAUAGUCAACACUGGUACUGGUUGGGUGAUGGUCAAACUCGACAACAGGAGUUUCUGCAUUUAUAAAAGAAGAUAUUCUAUUGCCACAUGGUCCAUUUAACAUUUUAAAAAAUGGCAAUAUUCCUAAAUUAUGCUAAACAUACUGCAGUGUAAAAACAGACUGAUGCAGAGUCCUCAAUAGAGUCAAUGCACUCCAUUCCAAAACAGUAAAAUAGAGGUGCUAAACAACAGCACAUUUUUAAAUAAAAUGUACACUUUCCACAACGACCAAUGAAAUGUCUAUGUAUUCUUAAAUCUAGUAUCCUUAGAAAAACAAUUUCAAAGGAAGAGCCUAGCUACCUCAGCUAUCAGUGAGAUGUCAGAAAAACUAAAUUAUUAACAGAAGACUGAAAGUGACAACCAAUAUUAUGCAUUAGGCUGUACGAGAGAAGCUGCAAAAAGACCAUGAAGAGCUUUGAAUGUAAGCAACAUAAUCUAUUACUUUUACUGGAAGGCAAUAAAGAAACCGUAGUGGUGAUAAAACAUGUCCACCAGAAGGACACUUGGAUCUUUUCUUUUAGAAUUACAGUUUAACUUUAAUAAUGCCAGUAUUGUUACUGAAAAAGAAAAGAUACUGAAACCAUUUGGGAGAUAGCUGAAGUUGGAAUGACUAAUUCAAAUGUAAGAAUUAGACACUGGAGAAGAGAGGAUUUUGAUUCUCUAGAUCCCAAAAGCUGGCAUGAUGUGGCAAUGGAGAAAUCAAACUAGUAAGUACAUCUGGCUUUUUCCUGCAGAAAGUCCUUGGAACUGAAAGGAUGUAUGAAUCACAAUCACACAUUUAAAGUGGAUUCUCAUGCAGUAUGUGGUCUAGAACAGGAAGAAAGUGCUCACAGCUAUUACACUUAGCUUACAUUUGGUGCAAAUUCAGAAAACCUAAUUUAAGGCAUUUACUUCUCCACUGAAAGCAGCAUUUUUGAAGCGCCAUGCAUCAGACUACUACAAAUGAUAUACAUUAUCUUUACUAACUUCUGUCAACCCAUCCACUUGAUCACACAGAUUCAAACUAGUUCUUUGUAGCUUUUAUAGUUAAAGUUAUGGUCCAAAAAGUGGCUAUGUAAAAAAUACUAAAUGUGCCAUACUUGUUCUCUGUAUAUA
Mauremys reevesii (Reeves's turtle) is the source of this 2389-nucleotide long non-coding RNA. RefSeq lists it as uncharacterized. The transcript has 4 exons. Lineage: Eukaryota; Metazoa; Chordata; Testudines; Geoemydidae. The record is from RefSeq and is a predicted model, not a curated record.